RNAcentral lists this ribosomal RNA (501 nucleotides) under uncultured Alteromonas sp. Its description in RNAcentral is "bacterial SSU rRNA". It matches the Rfam family "Bacterial small subunit ribosomal RNA", at positions 72 to 573 of the family's 1533-position model. The record is from RNAcentral. Lineage: Bacteria; Pseudomonadati; Pseudomonadota; Gammaproteobacteria; Alteromonadales; Alteromonadaceae.
UUUCUAGCUUGCUAGAAGAUGACGAGUGGCGGACGGGUGAGUCAUGCUUGGGAACUUGCCUUUGCGAGGGGGAUAACAGUUGGAAACGACUGCUAAUACCGCAUAAUGUCUUCGGACCAAACGGGGCUUCGGCUCCGGCGCAAAGAGAGGUCCAAGUGAGAUUAGCUAGUUGGUAAGGUAACGGCUUACCAAGGCGACUAUCUCUAUCUGUUCUGAGAGGAAUAUCAGCCACACUGGGACUGACACACGGCCCACACUCCUACGGGAGGCAGGAGUGGGGAAUAUUGCACAGUGGGGGAAACCCUGAUGCAGCCAUGCCGCGUGUGUGAAGAACACCUUCGGGUUGGAAAGCACUUUCUUGUGUGAGGAAAAGUUAGUAGUUAAUACCUGCUAGCCGUGACGUUAACAACAGAAGAAGCACCGGCUAACUCCGUGCCAGCAGCCGCGGUAAUACGGAGGGUGCGAGCGUUAAUCGGAAUUACUGGGCGUAAAGCGCACGCA